This 1524-nucleotide ribosomal RNA is filed under the name Enterococcus faecium. Its description in RNAcentral is "bacterial SSU rRNA". It matches the Rfam family "Bacterial small subunit ribosomal RNA". The record is from RNAcentral. Lineage: Bacteria; Bacillati; Bacillota; Bacilli; Lactobacillales; Enterococcaceae.
AGAGUUUGAUCAUGGCUCAGGACGAACGCUGGCGGCGUGCCUAAUACAUGCAAGUCGAACGCUUCUUUUUCCACCGGAGCUUGCUCCACCGGAAAAAGAAGAGUGGCGAACGGGUGAGUAACACGUGGGUAACCUGCCCAUCAGAAGGGGAUAACACUUGGAAACAGGUGCUAAUACCGUAUAACAAUCGAAACCGCAUGGUUUUGAUUUGAAAGGCGCUUUCGGGUGUCGCUGAUGGAUGGACCCGCGGUGCAUUAGCUAGUUGGUGAGGUAACGGCUCACCAAGGCCACGAUGCAUAGCCGACCUGAGAGGGUGAUCGGCCACAUUGGGACUGAGACACGGCCCAAACUCCUACGGGAGGCAGCAGUAGGGAAUCUUCGGCAAUGGACGAAAGUCUGACCGAGCAACGCCGCGUGAGUGAAGAAGGUUUUCGGAUCGUAAAACUCUGUUGUUAGGGAAGAACAAGGAUGAGAGUAACUGUUCAUCCCUUGACGGUAUCUAACCAGAAAGCCACGGCUAACUACGUGCCAGCAGCCGCGGUAAUACGUAGGUGGCAAGCGUUGUCCGGAUUUAUUGGGCGUAAAGCGAGCGCAGGCGGUUUCUUAAGUCUGAUGUGAAAGCCCCCGGCUCAACCGGGGAGGGUCAUUGGAAACUGGGAGACUUGAGUGCAGAAGAGGAGAGUGGAAUUCCAUGUGUAGCGGUGAAAUGCGUAGAUAUAUGGAGGAACACCAGUGGCGAAGGCGGCUCUCUGGUCUGUAACUGACGCUGAGGCUCGAGAGCGUGGGGAGCAAACAGGAUUAGAUACCCUGGUAGUCCACGCCGUAAACGAUGAGUGCUAAGUGUUGGAGGGUUUCCGCCCUUCAGUGCUGCAGCUAACGCAUUAAGCACUCCGCCUGGGGAGUACGACCGCAAGGUUGAAACUCAAAGGAAUUGACGGGGGCCCGCACAAGCGGUGGAGCAUGUGGUUUAAUUCGAAGCAACGCGAAGAACCUUACCAGGUCUUGACAUCCUUUGACCACUCUAGAGAUAGAGCUUCCCCUUCGGGGGCAAAGUGACAGGUGGUGCAUGGUUGUCGUCAGCUCGUGUCGUGAGAUGUUGGGUUAAGUCCCGCAACGAGCGCAACCCUUAUUGUUAGUUGCCAUCAUUCAGUUGGGCACUCUAGCAAGACUGCCGGUGACAAACCGGAGGAAGGUGGGGAUGACGUCAAAUCAUCAUGCCCCUUAUGACCUGGGCUACACACGUGCUACAAUGGGAAGUACAACGAGUCGCGAAGUCGCGAGGCUAAGCUAAUCUCUUAAAGCUUCUCUCAGUUCGGAUUGCAGGCUGCAACUCGCCUGCAUGAAGCCGGAAUCGCUAGUAAUCGCGGAUCAGCGCGCCGCGGUGAAUACGUUCCCGGGCCUUGUACACACCGCCCGUCACACCACGAGAGUUUGUAACACCCGAAGUCGGUGAGGUAACCUUUUUGGAGCCAGCCGCCUAAGGUGGGAUAGAUGAUUGGGGUGAAGUCGUAACAAGGUAACCGU